This 424-nucleotide ribosomal RNA is filed under the name uncultured bacterium. RNAcentral's name for it is "bacterial SSU rRNA". It matches the Rfam family "Bacterial small subunit ribosomal RNA", at positions 357 to 772 of the family's 1533-position model. The record is from RNAcentral.
GAGAGGCUUCGGCAAUGGGGGAAACCCUGACCGAGCGACGCCGCGUGAAGGAUGAAGGCCCUUGGGUUGUAAACUUCUUUUGUUGGGGCAGAAAUGCGAUCAGGUGAAUAAUCUGGUCGUUUGACGGUACCCGACGAAUAAGCCCCGGCUAACUCCGUGCCAGCAGCCGCGGUAACACGGGGGGAGCAAGCGUUGUUCGGAAUCACUGGGCGUAAAGGGCGCGUAGGCGGCGCGGUAAGUAGGGGGUGAAAUCCUGCGGCUCAACCGCAGAAUGGCCUCCUAAACUGCCGUGCUCGAGCACAGUAGAGGCAGGUGGAAUUCCCGGUGUAGCGGUGGAAUGCGUAGAGAUCGGGAAGAACACCAGUGGCGAAGGCGGCCUGCUGGGCUGUUGCUGACGCUGAGGCGCGACAGCGUGGGGAGCAAA